UUAUUACCAGGAGUUCCCUACAAGCACUUCAUGAGGCCUUAGCUUAUUAAGGGAUCUUGUGAAGUGUUUGGGGGAACUCUCGGUGUCAC
RNAcentral lists this microRNA precursor (89 nucleotides) under Setaria italica (foxtail millet). Its description in RNAcentral is "mir-395 microRNA precursor family". It matches the Rfam family "mir-395 microRNA precursor family". Rfam says of the family: mir-395 was identified in both Arabidopsis thaliana and Oryza sativa computationally and was later experimentally verified. mir-395 is thought to target mRNAs coding for ATP sulphurylases. Lineage: Eukaryota; Viridiplantae; Streptophyta; Magnoliopsida; Poales; Poaceae. The record is from Rfam by way of RNAcentral. RNAcentral also lists the same sequence under 1 other name.